AAAGGAGACUGCCAGUGAUAAACUGGAGGAAGGUGGGGAUGACGUCAAGUCAUCAUGGCCCUUACGACCAGGGCUACACACGUGCUACAAUGGCGCAUACAAAGAGAAGCGACCUCGCGAGAGCAAGCGGACCUCAUAAAGUGCGUCGUAGUCCGGAUUGGAGUCUGCAACUCGACUCCAUGAAGUCGGAAUCGCUAGUAAUCGUGGAUCAGAAUGCCACGGUGAAUACGUUCCCGGGCCUUGUACACACCGCCCGUCACACCAUGGGAGUGGGUUGCAAAAGAAGUAGGUAGCUUAACCUUCGGGAGGGCGCUUACCACUUUGUGAUUCAUGACUGGGGUGAAGUCGUAACAAGGUAACCGUAGGGGAACCUGC
Molecule: ribosomal RNA, 375 nt
Filed under: Escherichia coli
Lineage: Bacteria; Pseudomonadati; Pseudomonadota; Gammaproteobacteria; Enterobacterales; Enterobacteriaceae
Also listed under: 9 other names
Description: partial 16S ribosomal RNA
Rfam family: Bacterial small subunit ribosomal RNA
Source: RNAcentral